UAACCUGCUAAAUAGCCCGGCUCGCUUUGGCGGGUCGCCGGCUUCUUAGAGGGACUAUCGGCUCAAGCCGAUGGAAGUUUGAGGCAAUAACAGGUCUGUGAUGCCCUUAGAUGUUCUGGGCUGCACGCGCGCUACACUGACAGAGCCAACGAGUUUUUUUCCUUGGCCGGAAGGUCUGGGUAAUCUUGUUAAACUCUGUCGUGCUGGGGAUAGAGCAUUGCAAUUAUUGCUCUUCAACGAGGAAUGCCUAGUAAGCGCAUGUCAUCAGCAUGCGUUGAUUACGUCCCUGCCCUUUGUACACACCGCCCGUCGCU
Molecule: ribosomal RNA, 314 nt
Filed under: uncultured fungus
Lineage: Eukaryota; Fungi
Description: SSU rRNA
Rfam family: Eukaryotic small subunit ribosomal RNA
Source: RNAcentral